This 497-nucleotide ribosomal RNA is filed under the name uncultured bacterium. RNAcentral's name for it is "partial 16S ribosomal RNA". It matches the Rfam family "Bacterial small subunit ribosomal RNA", at positions 28 to 507 of the family's 1533-position model. The record is from RNAcentral.
GACGAACGCUGGCGGCGUGCUUAAUACAUGCAAGUCGAGCGCUGAAGGUUGGUACUUGUACCAAGUGGGUGAGCAGCGAACGGGUGAGUAACGCGUGGGGAAGCAGCAUUUGAGCGGGGGACAACAUUUGGAAACGAAUGCUAAUACCGCAUAAGAACUUUAAACACAAGAUCUAAGCGUGAAAGAUGCAAUUGCAUCACUCAAAGAUGAUUCCGCGUUGUAUUAGCUAGUUGGUGAGGUAAAGGCUCACCAAGGCGAGGAUACAUAGCCGACCUGAGAGGGUUGUCGGCCAACAUGGGACUUGGGCACGGCCCCAACCUCUUCGGGUGGGAGCCGUAGGGGAUUCUUGGCGAUGGCCGAAAGGCUGAACGGACAACGACGGGUGCAUGGAUAAGGUUUUCGGGUCGUAAAAGUCUGUUUGUAGAGAAGGACGUUGGUCAGAGUUGACAGCUCAUCUAGUGACGGUACCUACCCAGAAAGCCACGGCUAACUACGUG